AACCAUCUAGUGGAACUGGAAUGCUUUCAACUGCAGGACUAUCAGGGGGUCAUUCUGGAACUGGAAAGUCUAAACCUUUAGGGAUUGCCCCGCCACCAAGUGGGGCAGUAAAAAUUAGGUCUCCACUCCCACCCCCUCCAAAUGAUCCAGCUGCGGCACGAAUGACUGCUGUUAAUCAUGGUGUUGGUAUCAAAUCACCUAAAGAAAAUACAAAACGUUCUAUGGAUCCUUUAUCAGAUCUUUCUCCACUUGAGAGGAAUCUUCCUUCAGCAACAUCAGGUUCAGCAAAGACAACUGCAUCGGGAUGGGCGGCUUUCUAGUUGUGUGGGGUAUUUAUUGAGUGUGAAAUUGAAACCUCUGUUUGAUGUCUUCUUUGAAAAAAGUGAAAAUGAACAAUAUAAUUUGACAGAAGCAUGAAAGCACACCCAAAUACGUUCAUAUGCGGAAAAUAAUGUUUAAUAGAAUACAUGGAAUGCUUCUGCCUUCCUGCAUGAACUCUGAUGGUCUCAUUUCUACGUAUAAUGGAAAAUUGAAUUACAUUUCAUCUUCAUUCUGGUUGGUUGAUUUGUAACGUGUCAAAUUGAUAUGUAGCAUUUGUUUUGUGCAGCUGCAUAGCGUGCAUUCUGCUGUUGUGGAACAAAAUGUGGUUCUCA
RNAcentral lists this unclassified non-coding RNA (653 nucleotides) under Hevea brasiliensis (rubber tree). Lineage: Eukaryota; Viridiplantae; Streptophyta; Magnoliopsida; Malpighiales; Euphorbiaceae. The record is from RNAcentral.